GAUGAAGAACGUAGCGAAAUGCGAUACGUAAUGUGAAUUGCAGAAUUCAGUGAAUCAUCGAAUCUUUGAACGCAUAUUGCGCUCUCUGGUAUUCCGGAGAGCAUGCUUGUUUGAGUAUCAGUAAACACCUCAACUCCUUUUUCUUUUUUGAAAUUGGAGCUGGACUUGAGUGAUCCCAACGCUUUCUUCCAAGAAAGUGGCGGGUUGCUUGAAAUGCAGGUGCAGCUGAACUUUUCUCUGAGCUAUAAGCAUAUCUAUUUAGUCUGCCUAAAAAACAGAUUAUUACCUUUGCUGCAGCUAACAUAAAGGAGACUAGUUCUUGUGCUGACUGAUGCAGGAUUCACAGAGACAGCUUCGGCUGACUUUGUAAACUCGAUCUCAAAUCAAGUAAGACUACCCGCUGAACUUAAGCAUAUCAAUAAGCGGAGGA
Molecule: unclassified non-coding RNA, 430 nt
Filed under: soil metagenome
Description: partial contains 5.8S ribosomal RNA, internal transcribed spacer 2, and large subunit ribosomal RNA
Rfam family: 5.8S ribosomal RNA (bases 1-120)
Source: RNAcentral